GCCGGGCACAGUGGCGUUGGCCUGUAAUCCCAGCAGCCCAGGAGGCUGAGGCAAGAGAAUCAAAAGCCUCAGCAACAGUGAGGUGCUAAGGAAAUCAAUGAGACACUGUCUCUA
RNAcentral lists this small RNA (114 nucleotides) under Marmota monax (woodchuck). The record is from RNAcentral. Lineage: Eukaryota; Metazoa; Chordata; Mammalia; Rodentia; Sciuridae.